RNAcentral lists this unclassified non-coding RNA (243 nucleotides) under uncultured fungus. RNAcentral's name for it is "sequence contains ITS1, 5.8S rRNA gene". The stretch from base 195 to 243 matches the Rfam family "5.8S ribosomal RNA", at positions 1 to 49 of the family's 154-position model. Lineage: Eukaryota; Fungi. The record is from RNAcentral.
UCUCCGUAGGUGAACCUGCGGAGGGAUCAUUAAUGAGAACUUGCCCUAGCGGGUAGAUCUCCCACCCUUUGUUUAUUAUACCUUUGUUGCUUUGCCAGGCCCGUCUCUCGGGGCCGCCGGCUCCGGCUGGCCAGCGCCUGGCAGAGACUCCAAACUCUUUUGUAUUUGUCGUCAGAGUACUAUAUAAUAGUUAAAACUUUCAACAACGGAUCUCUUGGUUCUGGCAUCGAUGAAGAACGCAGC